This 665-nucleotide ribosomal RNA is filed under the name uncultured fungus. RNAcentral describes it as "eukaryotic LSU rRNA". It matches the Rfam family "Eukaryotic large subunit ribosomal RNA", at positions 24 to 664 of the family's 3401-position model. Lineage: Eukaryota; Fungi. The record is from RNAcentral.
UCCCGCUGAACUUAUGCAUAUCAAUAAGCGGAGGAAAAGAAACUAACAAGGAUUCCCCUAGUAACUGCGAGUGAAGCGGGAAAAGCUCAAAUUUAAAAUCUGAGGGUCUGUGUAGCCUUCCGAAUUGUAUUCUAGAGAAGUGUUAUCCGCGCUGGACCGUGUACAAGUCUCCUGGAACGGAGCGUCAUAGAGGGUGAGAAUCCCGUCUUUGACACGGACUACCAGGGCUUAUGUGAUGCGCUCUCAAAGAGUCGAGUUGUUUGGGAAUGCAGCUCUAAAUGGGUGGUAAAUUCCAUCUAAAGCUAAAUAUUGGCGAGAGACCGAUAGCGAACAAGUACCGUGAGGGAAAGAUGAAAAGAACUUUGGAAAGAGAGUUAAACAGUACGUGAAAUUGUUGAAAGGGAAACGCUUGAAGUCAGUCGCGUUGUCCAGAAAUCAACCUUGCUUCUGCCUGGUGUACUUUUUGGGCAACGGGUCAGCAUCAAUUUUGACCGGUGGAUAAAGGUCAGGGGAAUGUGGCAUUUUUAUUGAAUGUGUUAUAGCCCUUGGUUGCAUACAUCGGUUGGGAUUGAGGAACUCAGCAUGCCGCAAGGCCGGGUCUUUUGAUCACGUACAUGCUUAGGAUGCUGGCAUAAUGGCCUUAAUCGACCCGUCUUGAAAGGCGG